GAUGAACGCUGGCGGCGUGCCUAAUACAUGCAAGUCGAGCGAACAGACGAGGAGCUUGCUCCUCUGACGUUAGCGGCGGACGGGUGAGUAACACGUGGAUAACCUACCUAUAAGACUGGGAUAACUUCGGGAAACCGGAGCUAAUACCGGAUAAUAUAUUGAACCGCAUGGUUCAAUAGUGAAAGACGGUUUUGCUGUCACGUAUAGAUGGAUCCGCGCCGCAUUAGCUAGUUGGUAAGGUAACGGCUUACCAAGGCAACGAUGCGUAGCCGACGUGAGAGGGGGAUCGGCCACACGGGAACUGAGCCACGGUCCAGACUCCUACGGGAGGCAGCAGUAGGGAAUCUUCCGCAAUGGGCGAAAGCCUGACGGAGCAACGCCGCGUGAGUGAUGAAGGUCUUCGGAUCGUAAAACUCUGUUAUUAGGGAAGAACAAAUGUGUAAGUAACUAUGCACGUCUUGACGGUACCUAAUCAGAAAGCCACGGCUAACUACGUG
This 497-nucleotide ribosomal RNA is filed under the name uncultured bacterium. Its description in RNAcentral is "partial 16S ribosomal RNA". It matches the Rfam family "Bacterial small subunit ribosomal RNA", at positions 28 to 507 of the family's 1533-position model. The record is from RNAcentral.